Molecule: ribosomal RNA, 461 nt
Filed under: uncultured bacterium
Lineage: Bacteria
Description: partial 16S ribosomal RNA
Rfam family: Bacterial small subunit ribosomal RNA
Source: RNAcentral
CCUACGGGUGGCAGCAGUGAGGAAUAUUGGACAAUGGGCGCGAGCCUGAUCCAGCCAAGUCGCGUGAGGGAGGACGGCCCUACGGGUUGUAAACCUCUUCUGCCGGGGAGCAACGGGCGUCACGUGUGGCGCCACUGAGAGUACCCGGAGAAAAAGCAUCGGCUAACUCCGUGCCAGCAGCCGCGGUAAUACGGAGGAUGCGAGCGUUAUCCGGACUUAUUGGGUGUAAAGGGAGCGUAGGCGGGAAGCCAAGUCAGCUGUGAAAACUACGGGCUUAACCUGUAGACUGCAGUUGAAACUGGCUUUCUUGAGUGAAGUAGAGGUUGGCAGAAUUCCGGGUGUAGCGGUGAAAUGCGUAGAUAUUCGGAGGAACACCGGUGGCGAAGGCGGCCAACUGGGCUUUAACUGACGCUGAGGCUCGAAAGUGUGGGGAGCAAACAGGAUUAGAUACCCCGGUAGUC